UAUAGAAAUACUCCAUGAAAAGCUUGCCUUGUAAUUCAAACCACUUUCCUGUGGAGCAUCAAAAUAUUUGUUUCUCUGUGUUAAGCAUACAUGAUAAAGAAUCAGGAUGAUGCCCCACAACAUUUGUCUGUGUUAGAAAGCCAUCCUGGGGUUCAUGGAAGGAAAUCGGGAUCUAUCUGGUCCUAAGGGAUGAUGGAAAAAGAGAUAAAAUGGAAAUACAAGCUGUGUGCUGUUUCCUCUCUGAACUGUAAAUAUCAAUGUGGAAUUUUGGCAGAUGGAGUGGUUCUAUUUUGUUGGUUUUUGGAACUGAGGUCAUAAUUAAGAGGGGUGCUUGGGGCAAUCCUAUUUUGCCAAUAAAUGUGAAAUUCUUGGACCAGUGCAAGACAGACCAGAGGGAAAGCGUUUGCCAAGAAUGUUUUCAUUAAUCAAGAAAGUAAGUCGGAGGUUCGAAGAUGAUCAGAUACCAUCCUAGUUCCGACCACAAACAAUGCCAACUGGAGAUGCAGUGGUGUUAUUUCCUGAUCCUCCUGGGUAGCUUCCUGAAAACCUAAGCAUUUGGGUUUGGGGGGAGUAUGGUUGCAAAGCUGAAACUUAAAGGAAUUGAUGGAAGGGCACCACUAGGAGUGGACCUUCAGCUUAAUUUGAUCUAUACAGGAGACCUCACCCGGACCAGACAUGGACAGGAUUGACAGAUUCAUAGCUCUUUCUUGAAUCCAUGGGUGGUGGUGCAUGGCCAUUCUUAUUUGGUGGAGCAAUUUGUCUGGUUAAUUCCAAUAAGGAAGGAGACUCUGGCAUGCUAACUAGUUAAGUGACUCCCCGAGCAGUCAGCAUCCCCCAAGUUCUUAUAGGGACAAGUGGCAUUCAGCCACCUGAGAUUGAGCAAUAACAGGUCUGUGAUGCCCUUAGAUGUCUGAGGCUGCUUGCACACUACACUGACUGUCUCAGCCUGUGCCUACUCUAUGCCAGCAGGAGUGAGUUACCCAUUGAACCCCAUUCAUGAUGGAGAUCAGGCAUUGCAAUUAUUCCCCAUGUAUGAGGAAUUCGCAGUAAGUGCGGGUCAUAAGCUUGCAGUAAUUAUGUCCCUGUCCUUUGUACACACUGCCUGUCCCUACUACCAAUUGGAUGGUUUAGUGAGGCCCUCAGAUUGGCCCUGAAGGUGUCUGCCCAUGGCCCUGGUUGUGUGCUAAGAAGAAGUCGAACUUGGCUAUCUAGAGGAAGUGAAAGUCCCAACAAGGUUUCUGCAGGUGAACCUGUAGAUGGAUCAUUA
RNAcentral lists this non-coding RNA (1267 nucleotides) under Cricetulus griseus (Chinese hamster). RNAcentral's name for it is "Eukaryotic small subunit ribosomal RNA". It matches the Rfam family "Eukaryotic small subunit ribosomal RNA", at positions 647 to 1831 of the family's 1831-position model. Lineage: Eukaryota; Metazoa; Chordata; Mammalia; Rodentia; Cricetidae. The record is from Rfam by way of RNAcentral.